Eutrema salsugineum is the source of this 169-nucleotide small nucleolar RNA. It matches the Rfam family "small nucleolar RNA snoR143". Lineage: Eukaryota; Viridiplantae; Streptophyta; Magnoliopsida; Brassicales; Brassicaceae. The record is from Rfam.
UUGCACCUUGUAUCGAGGGUCAUGCCUCGUUCUGGUGGCAUGGCCAUUUUCGAGGAUGCAGAAAUGAAUUGCUGUUUAAUCAGCAAGCGGCCAGACAACCGUUGGGAUAGAUCCACAGGUGUUGCAGAUUUUUCUCUCUGCUUUCAGCUACUAAAUCUAUCCCACAAUU